RNAcentral lists this ribosomal RNA (250 nucleotides) under uncultured bacterium. Its description in RNAcentral is "partial 16S ribosomal RNA". It matches the Rfam family "Bacterial small subunit ribosomal RNA", at positions 524 to 773 of the family's 1533-position model. The record is from RNAcentral. RNAcentral also lists the same sequence under 1 other name.
UACGAAGGGGGCUAGCGUUGCUCGGAAUCACUGGGCGUAAAGGGCGCGUAGGCGGCGUUUUAAGUCGGGGGUGAAAGCCUGUGGCUCAACCACAGAAUGGCCUUCGAUACUGGGACGCUUGAGUCUGGUAGAGGUUGGUGGAACUGCGAGUGUAGAGGUGAAAUUCGUAGAUAUUCGCAAGAACACCGGUGGCGAAGGCGGCCAACUGGACCAGUACUGACGCUGAGGCGCGAAAGCGUGGGGAGCAAAC